This 446-nucleotide ribosomal RNA is filed under the name uncultured bacterium. RNAcentral describes it as "bacterial SSU rRNA". It matches the Rfam family "Bacterial small subunit ribosomal RNA", at positions 331 to 794 of the family's 1533-position model. The record is from RNAcentral.
CCAGACUCCUACGGGAGGCAGCAGUGGGGAAUAUUGCACAAUGGGGGAAACCCUGAUGCAGCGACGCCGCGUGAGUGAAGAAGUAAUUCGUUAUGUAAAGCUCUAUCAGCAGGGAAGAAAAUGACGGUACCUGAGUAAGAAGCCCCGGCUAACUACGUGCCAGCAGCCGCGGUAAUACGUAGGGGGCAAGCGUUAUCCGGAAUUACUGGGUGUAAAGGGAGCGUAGACGGUUAAGCAAGUCUGGAGUGAAAGGCGGGGGCCCAACCCCCGGACUGCUCUGGAAACUGUGUAACUGGAGUGCAGGAGAGGUAAGCGGAAUUCCUAGUGUAGCGGUGAAAUGCGUAGAUAUUAGGAGGAACACCAGUGGCGAAGGCGGCCUGCUGGACGACAACUGACGGUGAGGCGCGAAAGCGUGGGGAGCAAACAGGAUUAGAUACCCCUGUAGA